Molecule: long non-coding RNA, 986 nt
Organism: Puntigrus tetrazona (Sumatra barb)
Lineage: Eukaryota; Metazoa; Chordata; Actinopteri; Cypriniformes; Cyprinidae
Exons: 3
Source: RefSeq, a predicted model, not a curated record
AAGUAAUAAAUAAACCCAGUACACACACAUUAUUUUAACAAAACUUUUUUGGAUGAGAUUAAUCAUAAUUGUUUGACAACAUACUCUCUCACACACACACACAUAUAUGGGAUAUUGUGGAUAUUACAAUGAAUUAGAUAUGUAGUAUGGAUUUGAAAUUAUUGAUUUUUUUUUUAGCUUUUCUAACGAAUGGUCAGUUUAUAUGUGUAUAUGCUAUAUAAUCAUUGUAGAAAAUGUUUGUAUAUUCUCUAUUAUAUAUCGUAUUUAUUGCAUAUGUACAAUGUACAAUAGUAUAAUAAAUGAUAACUUUAUAAUAUAAUAUAUAAUAAAAUAAUACAUAAAUAGACUAGUAUGCUAUGUAAACAAUAAAAGAAUUAUAUAUGUGUUUAUUUUAGGUGUAAAUCUGCAGAAUGCAUUUAAGUGUUAUGAUCCCAGUCUGUAUUCCCCGUAUUGUUCUUGAGUCGGACUUUAAUUUUGAAGUGUAUUUUGUUCCCCAUUGUUUCUGGGUUGCUUCCUGUGUACUAUUCCUGUUUCCUUGUUUCUCUGUCUACCAUAGUUCCCCUUGUUUCUGUGUUGGGGAAAGUUACAUUUCAAAAAAACCCCAAGCAACUGUAGAGCAACUGUAAAUGAGCAACUGUGAAAUUAGUAAGCCUCGGGCUAAAGAAAAUGCCUCUCCAAUUACUCCCAAUUUCUUUUGAAAAGGAUGGGAAAUCAGUUCCGCCGAAUGCUGAUUAUGGAACACCAAGAUUUAAGAUGUUGUUGUGCAAGAACAAACACAGUGAGCUGCAGGAAUGUUAGUCAAUGCAUAACCAGUAUAAUGAAGAAGAAUGAAGAAAACACAUAUCAAAAUCCCAAAUGCUGUCAGAGGAAAACAUGCAGGAAUCCGAAAAAACUGGGUCACUUGCUCUUCAGCAAGCAAAUGCUUUCUUAGUAUUUGUCUUCUUUUGUAAACCCUACAGUAGACCCACAUGCAGUUAAAGUUUAAU